AGAAUAACUAUAUAUUAUCACCAGUCAUAGGAAUACUAGUGAUAUGUACAGUUAUUCUGU
Molecule: microRNA precursor, 60 nt
Filed under: Strongyloides ratti
Lineage: Eukaryota; Metazoa; Nematoda; Chromadorea; Rhabditida; Strongyloididae
Description: microRNA str-mir-8373 precursor
Source: miRBase by way of RNAcentral